This 253-nucleotide ribosomal RNA is filed under the name uncultured bacterium. Its description in RNAcentral is "partial 16S ribosomal RNA". It matches the Rfam family "Bacterial small subunit ribosomal RNA", at positions 524 to 776 of the family's 1533-position model. The record is from RNAcentral.
UACGUAGGUGGCAAGCGUUAUCCGGAUUUAUUGGGCGUAAAGAGAACGCAGGCGGUCUUUUAAGUCUGAUGUGAAAGCCUUCGGCUUAACCGGAGUAGUGCAUUGGAAACUGGGAGACUUGAGUGCAGAAGAGGAGAGUGGAACUCCACGUGUAGCGGUGAAAUGCGUAGAUAUAUGGAAGAACACCAGUGGCGAAAGCGGCUCUCUGGUCCGUAACUGACGCUGAGGUUCGAAAGCGUGGGUAGCAAACAGG